This 460-nucleotide ribosomal RNA is filed under the name uncultured bacterium. Its description in RNAcentral is "partial 16S ribosomal RNA". It matches the Rfam family "Bacterial small subunit ribosomal RNA", at positions 338 to 795 of the family's 1533-position model. The record is from RNAcentral.
CCUACGGGGGGCAGCAGUGAGGAAUAUUGGUCAAUGGGCGCGAGCCUGAACCAGCCAAGUAGCGUGAAGGAUGACUGCCCUACGUGUUGUAAACUUCUUUUGUCAAGGAAUAAAGUGAGGCACGUGUGCCUUUUUGUAUGUACUUUAUGAAUAAGGAUCGGCUAACUCCGUGCCAGCAGCCGCGGUAAUACGGAGGAUCCGAGCGUUAUCCGGAUUUAUUGGGUUUAAAGGGAGCGUAGAUGGGUUGUUAAGUCAGUUGUGAAAGUUUGCGGCUCAACCGUGAAAUUGCAAUUGAUACUGGCAGCCUUGAGUACAGGUGAGGUAGGCGGAAUGCGUGGUGUAGCGGUGAAAUGCUUAGAUAUCACGAAGAACUCCGAUUGCGAAGGCAGCUUACUAAACUGCCACUGACAUUGAGGCACGAAAGUGUGGGUAUCAAACAGGAUUAGAUACCCUGGUAGUC